CCGCUUUAUUGAGAUUUCACCAUUUUCUCCUCUGAAAUGACUCUCUUCUCUCUCUCUCUCUCUCUAGAUAGAAGAUAUACAGAUGCCUCACUCCCUAUAUCGAGUUGAUCGUUUACGAGUAAUCGGCCUCUGCAAAGUGCCCUUUAGGUAAUUUGAACAACUGACGAACAGAUUUGAGUCUGAAGUUCGGUGUGCUCAUCAAGUUUCAUUAUAGUCAUCUGCUCCGGUUGCGGUGUCUUAUAUGUUGGCAUUUAUAUUGGGAGAGCAAACUUUAGGAGGUCACUGCAGGAUAGUUCUUGGUGAUUAGCCCACGGGUGGUUAUUAUGUACUGUUGGAGAUCAUUAUCUAGUGAAGCUGGAGUUUUAAGGAGAUAUUAUGACAUGAAAAUCCCAUUUAUACAAUAGUCAGAUUUGCGGUUGACCCAAUAACAUGCUCUAGGUUGGGAAUCUUUACUGCAACAUGAGCUUGUGUAAAAGAACUUGGUCUUUCUGAUGAUUGGCAACGGUCAUGUAGUUCAAAUUGACAGAGUGCUAGGUGAUGAUUCAUUGCAUUCAGUCUAUUGAUGAUUCAUGUAGCAGUGCUUGAAAGCUUUUGAUUAGUGUUAUCAGAAAAUGUUAAUACCCUAGCAAAUUACGUUUUGAAACACACAUUUUGAAAUAUGGUACACACUCAUUUCAAAAUGAUAAAUUUAGC
This is a non-coding RNA of Camellia sinensis, 693 nucleotides long. Lineage: Eukaryota; Viridiplantae; Streptophyta; Magnoliopsida; Ericales; Theaceae. The record is from RefSeq and is a predicted model, not a curated record.